This 424-nucleotide ribosomal RNA is filed under the name uncultured prokaryote. RNAcentral's name for it is "bacterial SSU rRNA". It matches the Rfam family "Bacterial small subunit ribosomal RNA", at positions 355 to 796 of the family's 1533-position model. The record is from RNAcentral.
UGGGGAAUAUUGGACAAUGGGCGCAAGCCUGAUCCAGCCAUGCCGCGUGGAUGAAGAAGGCCCUAGGGUUGUAAAAUCCUUUCGCUAGGGAAGAUAAUGACGGUACCUAGUAAAGAAGCCCCGGCUAAUUUCGUGCCAGCAGCCGCGGUAAUACGAAAGGGGCUAGCGUUGUUCGGAAUUACUGGGCGUAAAGCGCGCGUAGGCGGCCUGCCAAGUUAGGGGUGAAAUCCCGGAGCUCAACUCCGGAACUGCCUCUAAAACUGGUAAGCUUGAGGUUGUGAGAGGUGAGUGGAAUUCCGAGUGUAGAGGUGAAAUUCGUAGAUAUUCGGAAGAACACCAGUGGCGAAGGCGACUCACUGGCUCGGUACUGACGCUGAGGUGCGAAAGCGUGGGGAGCAAACAGGAUUAGAUACCCCCGUAGUCC